GCUCGCUUAGUUCAGUUGGUUAGAAUACUUGCAUGACAUUAAGGUCUCACAAGGUUCAAGUCCCACAGCGGCACCA
Molecule: transfer RNA, 76 nt
Filed under: Psychromonas ingrahamii 37
Lineage: Bacteria; Pseudomonadati; Pseudomonadota; Gammaproteobacteria; Alteromonadales; Psychromonadaceae
Description: tRNA-Und-NNN-1-1
Source: RNAcentral